CCAGCCAUGCCGCGUGAAGGACGACUGCCCUAUGGGUUGUAAACUGCUUUUGUAUAGGGAUAAACCUACCCUCGUGAGGGUUCCUGACGGUACUGUACGAAUAAGCACCGGCUAACUCCGUGCCAGCAGCCGCGGUAAUACGGAGGGUCCAAGCGUUAUCCGGAUUCAUUGGGUUUAAAGGGUCCGUAGGCGGACUUAUAAGUCAGUGGUGAAAGCCUGUCGCUUAACGAUGGAACUGCCAUUGAUACUGUUAAUCUUGAAUUUUUUUGAAGUAACUGGAAUAAGUAGUGUAGCGGUGAAAUGCUUAGAUAUUACUUGGAACACCAAUUGCGAAGGCAGGUUACCACUAUAGAACUGACGCUGAUGGACGAAAGCGUGGGGAGCGAACAGGAUUAGAUACCCUGGUAGUCCACGCCGUAAACGAUGCUUACUCGUUUUUGGACUUUAUUUUUCAGAGACCACGCAAAAGUGAUAAAUUCCCCCCGUGGAGAGUACUCUCGCAAGAGUGAAACUCAAAAGAAUUGACGGGGGCCCGCACAAGCGGUAGAUUGUGUGUUAUAUCUCUGAGAUACGCGAAGAACCUUACCAGGACUUAUGUGGGAAUUGACAGGUGUAAAAAUAGAUCUUUC
RNAcentral lists this ribosomal RNA (629 nucleotides) under Cloacibacterium sp. Ri1Pw_5681. RNAcentral describes it as "bacterial SSU rRNA". It matches the Rfam family "Bacterial small subunit ribosomal RNA", at positions 388 to 1016 of the family's 1533-position model. The record is from RNAcentral. Lineage: Bacteria; Pseudomonadati; Bacteroidota; Flavobacteriia; Flavobacteriales; Weeksellaceae.